This 255-nucleotide ribosomal RNA is filed under the name uncultured bacterium. Its description in RNAcentral is "partial 16S ribosomal RNA". It matches the Rfam family "Bacterial small subunit ribosomal RNA", at positions 524 to 777 of the family's 1533-position model. The record is from RNAcentral.
GACGAACCGUGCGAACGUUGUUCGGAAUCACUGGGCUUAAAGGGCGCGUAGGCGGCUCCGCAAGUCGGGGGUGAAAUCUUUCGGCUUAACCGGAAAAGUGCCUCUGAUACUGCGGAGCUCGAGGGAGGUAGGGGCGGACGGAACUUCCGGUGGAGCGGUGAAAUGCGUUGAUAUCGGAAGGAACGCCGGUGGCGAAAGCGGUCCGCUGGCCCUCUACUGACGCUGAGGCGCGGAAAGCCAGGGGAGCAAAGCGGG